UCAAGCUACUAAGGGCAUACGGCGGAUGCCUAGGCGCCAUCAGCCGAUGAAGGACGCGGUAAGCUGCGAAAAGCUACGGGGAACUGCAAGCAAGUAUUGAUCCGUAGAUGUCCGAAUGGGGAAACCCACCUGCCGUCAUGGGCAGGUAUCCGAAAGGAAGGGAACCCGGGGAACUGAAACAUCUAAGUACCCGGAGGAAGAGAAAUCAAACGAGAUGCCCACAGUAGCGGCGAGCGAAGAGGGCAGAGGGCAAACCGGUGAGCUACGGCUCGCCGGGGUUGAGGACUGCAUUUAGUCUCAAUGGUCUAUCCGAACUACCUGGAAAGGUAGGCAAUACAGUGUAAAAGCCACGUAGGUUAAAGACCAGAGAGAUGAGCAGUAUCCAGAGUACCACGAGGCACGAGGAAUCUUGUGGGAAGCCGGGGGGACCACCCUCCAACCCUAAACACUGAAUGGCGACCGAUAGCGCAUAGUACCGUGAGGGAAAGGUGAAAAGAACCCCGGGAGGGGAGUGAAAGAGAACCUGAAACCGUAUGUCUACAAGCAGUCGGAGCGAAAGCGACGGCGUGCCUAUUGAAGAAUGAACCAACGAGUUACGUGCACUAGCGAGGUUAAGUGGAAGACACGGAGCCGAAGCGAAAGCGAGUCUUAAGAGGGCGAAUAGUUAGUGUACGUAGACCCGAAACCGCAGUGAUCUACCCAUGUCCAGGUUGAAGCGCAGGUAAAAUUGCGUGGAGGACCGAACCUGUGAGCGUUGAAAAGCUUUAGGAUGAGAUGUGGGUAGAGGUGAAAUUCCAAUCGAACGCGGAGAUAGCUGGUUCUCCCCGAAAUAGCUUUAGGGCUAGCCUCAAGUAGUAAGUAUAGGCGGUAGAGCACUGAUCGGGCUAGGGGCCAUAAAGGUUACCGAACCCUGUCAAACUCCGAAUGGUUAUACUGUAGAGCUUGGGAGUCAGACUACGAGUGAUAAGAUCCGUGGUCAAAAGGGAAACAGCCCAGACCACCAGCUAAGGUCCCCAAUGUCGUACUAAGUGGAAAAGGAUGUGGGGUCUCUAAAACAACCAGGAUGUUGGCUUAGAAGCAGCCACCAUUUAAAGAGUGCGUAAUAGCUCACUGGUCGAGAGACCCUGCGCCGAAGAUUACCGGGGCUAAAGUACGAAACCGAAGCUGUGGCUACGACAUAUGUCGUGGGGUAGGGGAGCGUUCUGUGAGGGCUGAAGUCGUUCUGUAAGGAACGGUGGACUUCACAGAAGUGAGAAUGUUGGUAUGAGUAGCGAAAAGAAUGGUGAGAAUCCAUUCCACCGAAAGCAUAAGGAUUCCUGGGCAACGAUCGUCGUCCCAGGGUAAGUCGGGACCUAAUCCGAGGCAUGGAGCGUAGGAGAUGGACAACUGGCAGAUAUUCCAGUACCGGUAAUGAUUGUUUGAGCGAUGGAGUGACACAGGAGGGCAGGCAGGCAGGAGAUUGGUUGUUCCUGUACAAGCGUGUAGGAUGGGACGCAGGCAAAUCCGCGUCCUGUGAGUCUGAGGCGUGAUGUGGAGGUUCCGGAAACGGAACUGAAGCUGCUGACCCCACACUGUCGAGAAAAGCUUCUAGUUAGAGAAUUACCGCCCGUACCGUAAACCGACACAGGUAUGCGGGGAGAGAAUCCUAAGGUGCGCGGGAGAACCCUCGUUAAGGAACUCGGCAAAAUGUACCCGUAACUUCGGGAUAAGGGUAGCCGCUGUUGUGAAGUCUGAACAGACGGAGCAUGAGGCGGUCGCAGAGAAGAGGCCCAAGCGACUGUUUACCACAAACACAGGUGCCUGCUAAAGAGAAAUCUGACGUAUAGGUGCUGACACCUGCCCAGUGCCGGAAGGUUAAGGAAGGAUGUCCGGAGCAAUCCAAAGCAUUCGACCGAAGCCCCGGUGAACGGCGGCCGUAACUAUAACGGUCCUAAGGUAGCGAAAUUCCUUGUCGGGUAA
This 1959-nucleotide ribosomal RNA is filed under the name human metagenome. Its description in RNAcentral is "bacterial LSU rRNA". It matches the Rfam family "Bacterial large subunit ribosomal RNA", at positions 3 to 1979 of the family's 2925-position model. The record is from RNAcentral.